RNA transcript from Vitis vinifera (wine grape), 1931 nucleotides. RefSeq lists it as uncharacterized. The transcript has 3 exons. The record is from RefSeq and is a predicted model, not a curated record. Lineage: Eukaryota; Viridiplantae; Streptophyta; Magnoliopsida; Vitales; Vitaceae.
UCUUUACUAAAUCUAAAAACCAAAAGGGCCACCCACUUCUCUCACUCGAGGCAUCAAGAAGCCCUUUUCUGAACUUCCCUCCAAGGCCUUAUUUUCCUCUGCCACUCUCAAUUCCCGCAGGUACUAAUCUGAUCUUUUUUUUUUUUUUGGCAACCCCCGUUUGAUUCCCAAGAAAAUCUACCCCCCAUUUGAUUUCCGGGAAAAUUCAUCCUCGUUUGAUUUCCGAGAAAAUCCAUGCAAAACCCCCAAGGAACACCAAAAAAAUUGCUUUGUUUUUUGGGUCCCUGUGUUUGCUGGAUCUGUUCUAGGGGUCUCUUUGCUUUUAUGCCAUUGGAUUUAAAUUUCACGAACCCUAAAUCCACGAUUUUUGAGCCAGACUGAAGAACACAACAACCUCUUCCAUCUGAAUCUAAAAAUCAAAAGAGCCAGCCGCUUCUCUCACUCGAAGUAUGAAGAAGCCCUUUUCUGAAGUUGCCCUCCAGACGAGAGAAUCCCUAGAAAGGCCCUAUUUUCCUCUGCCACUCGAUCCUCGCAGGGGUCUCUUUGCUUUUAUGCCAUUGGAUUUAAAUUUCACGAACCCUAAAUCCACGAUUUUUGAGCCAGACUGAAGAACACAACAACCUCUUCCCUAUUCCACUGCAAGCUCCACUUCUCCCCGUAUCUCGCCGGCGCCGAUCAUCUCAGAGCAGUAGAAAUUGAAAUGGGUAUUACACAAGAUCUCCUCAAGGCUGUUGAUCAGUAUCGCUUGGAGUGUUUUGAGAAAGCACAACUUCAUGGACAGACAACAGGAUCUACACAGCUUCAUGGACAGACAACGGUAUGCUCUCAUUAUUGAGAAAGCUUUUAUUAUUGAAUUUCAGUAAUUACUUGUUGAUUAAACACUCAAAGUAAUUUCAUUUUCUUGGCAUCACAGUGAGCAAGAUCAAGGAUCAAGUGAAUCCGUUGAGAUCCAAGUUUUUUUCGGCUACCUUUCAAUAUUGGGUGUCCUCUCAGUGAAAUAUCAAGGCAUCAGCAUUUCCCUACUUGAGGAACAUAAAGGGAUUAUAUAUAUUUUUGUUAUUGUUAUUUUCAUCUAUGUUGGAACAAUUAUUGUUGGUAAAAAGCUUGGGCCCAUUCGACUCCUCUCUGCCACAAUUGCCCCAAUCUUACUCUUCAUUUUAUGAGUGUGGCAAAUGAGUUGAAUACAUGACUUGCUUGGUGAAGAAGAUAAUGAUAUAGUUGUGGCAAAUGAGUUGAAUACAUGACUUGCUUGGUGAAGAAGAUAAUGAUAUAGUUGUCGUAAGUAGUCCCAUGCCAAUUUUGCUGCAAGGAUGACCCAUAAACCAAGUGCCGGCCAUCCUAAUUCUGGAACUAAAAUGAAGAAGAGUAAGAUUGGGGCAAUUGUGGCAGAGAGGAGUCGAAUGAGCCCAAGCUUUUUACCAACAAUAAUUGUUGCAACAUAGAUUGAAAUAACAAUAACAAAAAUAUAUAUAAUCCCUUUAUGUUCCUCAAGUAGGGAAAUGUUGAUGCCUUGAUAUUUCACUGAGAGGAGGACGCCUAAUAUUAAAAGGUAGCCGAAAAAAACUUGGAUCUCAACGGAUUCACUUGAUCCUUGAUCUUGCUCACUGUGAUGCCAAGAAAAUGAAAUUACUUUUGAGUGUUUAAUCAACAAGUAAUUACUGGCUGCUCUUUUUUGCUCUGGAGGUGUCUUUGGAGAGAGGAGCUCAUAUAUGCAACUUUGGAAUUUUGCGGCUUACAUUGGUUUUCCACCACUUUUUCCACUCAUAUGCCGACAUCUAAAUUCACUCUUUGUGGGAACAUAUAUCCAUCAUGUAGGAUGCUCGAUGCCUUAAAUUUUCUCUAAAUUCAUUUAUCAUCUGCUGAAUGCUUACAUGUUGGUUGUACUUGUAUUUUGUAAGGAAUUAAUAAAUGUAUAUAAUAUUUUUAGUUUC